RNAcentral lists this ribosomal RNA (253 nucleotides) under uncultured bacterium. RNAcentral's name for it is "partial 16S ribosomal RNA". It matches the Rfam family "Bacterial small subunit ribosomal RNA", at positions 524 to 776 of the family's 1533-position model. The record is from RNAcentral.
GACAGAGGUGGCGAGCGUUGUUCGGAAUCACUGGGCUUAAAGGGCGAGUAGGCGGUAGGGCAAGUCUGAGGUGGAAUCCUAUGGCUCAACCAUAGAACUGCCUUGGAAACUGUUCUACCUGAGUCAGUGAGGGGAGGGCGGAAUUCCCGGUGUAGCGGUGAAAUGCGUAGAUAUCGGGAGGAAGGCCGGUGGCGAAGGCGGCCCUCUGGCGCUGUACUGACGCUGAGGCGCGAAAGCGUGGGGAGCAAACAGG